AUGAACGCUGGCGGCGUGCCUAAUACAUGCAAGUCGAGCGAACAGACGGGGAGCUUGCUCCUCUGACGUUAGCGGCGGACGGGUGAGUAACACGUGGAUAACCUACCUAUAAGACUGGGAUAACUUCGGGAAACCGGAGCUAAUACCGGAUAACAUGUUGAACCGCAUGGUUCAACAGUGAAAGACGGUCUUGCUGUCACUUAUAGAUGGAUCCGCGCCGCAUUAGCUAGUUGGUAAGGUAACGGCUUACCAAGGCAACGAUGCGUAGCCGACCUGAGAGGGUGAUCGGCCACACUGGAACUGAGACACGGUCCAGACUCCUACGGGAGGCAGCAGUAGGGAAUCUUCCGCAAUGGGCGAAAGCCUGACGGAGCAACGCCGCGUGAGUGAAGAAGGUCUUCGGAUCGUAAAACUCUGUUAUUAGGGAAGAACAAAUGUGUAAGUAACUAUGCACGUCUUGACGGUACCUAAUCAGAAAGCCACGGCUAACUACGUG
Molecule: ribosomal RNA, 496 nt
Filed under: uncultured bacterium
Lineage: Bacteria
Description: partial 16S ribosomal RNA
Rfam family: Bacterial small subunit ribosomal RNA
Source: RNAcentral